Molecule: unclassified non-coding RNA, 3544 nt
Filed under: Hevea brasiliensis (rubber tree)
Lineage: Eukaryota; Viridiplantae; Streptophyta; Magnoliopsida; Malpighiales; Euphorbiaceae
Source: RNAcentral
GGUCAAGAUAUCGUUCGGUUUACAAUCCAGAUCAACCUCCUCAACUCGGUUCCACUAGCGAUUCUCUUACCAAGAACACGCAAAAGCAAGGACAAGUAAGUUCUGUCUUCUGUUACCCUUUCUCUGUUUUUCUUUCUUUGUUACAUGUAUUUAAUUCUUUAUGUUUUGAUGUUAGAAUCUUUGGAUUAAGGAAAACAAAAGGGAAAGUUGUUCUUGUUAUAAAUUCUUGAUCCUUAUAGCCAGGAUAAAGUUUCAGUGAUUAUUUUGGUUAGAGUCUUUGGAUUGAGGUUUGCUUUGGAUGGAUUCUAAUUUGGAACCAGUCCCGAUAACAUCACAAAAACAUGACCCGGCAUGGAAGCAUUGCCAAAUGUUCAAGAAUGGGGAAAGAGUGCAGCUCAAGUGUGUGUAUUGUAACAAGUUUUUUAAGGGGGGAGGGAUUCAUAGGAUUAAGGAGCAUUUAGCCGGUCAAAAGGGUAAUGCAUCUACUUGUUUACGAGUUCCUCCUGAUGUUAGGCUUAUGAUGCAACAGAGUUUGGAUGGAGUUGUAGUUAAAAAGAGAAAGAAGCAAAAGAUUGCAGAGGAGAUUUCGAAUUUGAACCAAGUUGGUAAUGAGAUAGAGGUUUUUGGUAAUGAUCAGAUUGAAGUUAAUAACGGUAUGGACUUGAUCGAACUUUCAAAUGUGAUAGAGCCUGGUCCAAGUUUAUUAGUUGGUCGAGAAGAAGGAGGGAUUAGUAAGAGUGGGGAGAGGAGAAAGAAGGGAAGAAGUAAAGGUUCCGCUGCAAAUAUAAAUGCCAUUGUUACUAUGAAUAAUAGGAUGGCAUUAGGUAGUAAAAGAGUGAAUGAUCAUGUUCAUAUGGCAAUAGGAAGGUUUUUAUAUGAUAUUGGGGCACCUUUGGAUGCUGUGAACUCGGUUUAUUUCCAGCCAAUGGUUGAUGCUAUUGCUUCGGGAGGAUCAGAGGUUGAGAUGCCUUCGUAUCAUGACCUUCGUGGUCAGAUAUUGAAGAAUACAGUUGAAGAAGUGAAGACUGAUGUUGAUAAGCACAUGGCAACUUGGGCAAGGACUGGUUGUUCUGUUUUGGUGGAUCAAUGGAACACAUUAAUGGGUAGAACUCUGCUAAGUUUUUUGGUUUACUCUUCUGAAGGAGUGGUGUUUUUGAAAUCUGUCGAUGCAUCUGAUUUUAUAAAUUCGUCUGAUGCCCUAUAUGAAUUGCUUAAACAAGUGGUGCUAGAAGUUGGAGCUAGACAUGUUUUGCAAGUGAUAACUAAUAUGGAAGAGCAAUAUAUUGUUGCAGGUAGAAGGUUGUCUGAUUCUUUUCCUACUUUAUAUUGGGCUCCUUGUGCAGCUCAUUGUCUAGAUUUGAUCCUCAAAGAUUUUGCAAAAAUUGGAUGGAUAAAUACAGUAAUUGAACAAGCUAGGUCUAUAACAAGAUUUGUAUACAAUUACAGUGUGGUAUUGAAUAUGGUGAGAAAGUAUACUUCUGGCAAUGAUAUUGUAGAACCAGGUCUCACUCGUUUUGCUACAAACUUUGCGACAUUGAAACGAAUGGUUGAUCUUAAGCAUACUUUGCAGGCCAUGGUUACUUCACAGGAGUGGAUGGAUUGUCCAUAUGCAAAGAAACCAGGGGGACUAGAGAUGUUAGAUUUAUUAAGUAAUCAAUCAUUUUGGUCCAACUGUGUCCUGAUAACCGAUCUAACAAAUCCGCUCUUGAGACUUUUGAGAAUAGUUAGUGGCAAUAAGAGGCCUGCAAUGGGGUAUGUUUAUGCAGGAAUAUACCGAGCAAAAGAAGCAAUUAAGAAGGAACUUGUAAAGAGGAAUGAUUAUAUGGUGUACUGGAAUAUUAUAGAUCAUUGGUGGGAACAACAAAAUAAUCUCCCUCUUCAUGCUGCUGGUUUCUUCCUUAAUCCCAAGUUCUUUUAUAGUAUUGAAGGAGAUGUCCACAAUGAGAUUCUGUCUCAGAUGUUUGAUUGCAUAGAAAAACUGGUUCCUGAUGUUAGUGUUCAAGAUAAAAUCACCAAAGAGAUAAACUCUUACAAGAAUGCUGCUGGAGAUUUUGGAAGGAAGAUGGCAGUUAGAGCUAGAGACACUCUGCUUCCUGGUGAGGUUCUUUCUUUCGAUUGAAUUUCUAUUCAGCUUCUGAGUUACAAUUUAUCUUGUUGCUUGUAAGAUAAUAUACUUGCAUUUUCAGGACUACAAAUGUCCAAGUGGGAGUUUGAGUGUAAAUAAAAUUUUGCUUUGCCCAUGCAUAUAGCUAAGACACUUAGUUGGAACAGAAACCUUGCUUUAUUUCUAUUUACUUACUCUUACCUGGUGAAGAUGAUUAAUAAUGCUAUGUUAGGUAUGACAAAAACCCUUUCCGGAGCUUUUCCCUUAUGCAUGCCACUAGGCAGGAUCAUUACUAUGCAAAGCCCUAAAGAAAUUCCAAAUCUUGAAUAUAUUGGGGGAGACUUUGUGAUCUAUUAGGCCAAUCUGGUGUCCAUCAUGCACUUGAUCAAAUAGCUUUUUUGUAUGUCUUGAAAUUAUAUCGGAUGCUGAAAUUGUAUUUUCAUGACUAUACGGCGUCAAAAGCAAUAGUUUGGCCAUUGUUAUCUUUUUGCUGUAGUUGAAUGGUGGUCAACAUAUGGAGGAAGUUGCCCAAAUUUGGUGCGGUUGGCUAUCCGAAUCCUCAGCCAAACCUCUAGUUUAAUUGGGUAUAAGCAAAAUCAUAUUCUUGUUGAGCAAAUAUAUGACACAAAAAAUUGUUUGGAGCGCCAACGACUGAGUGACCUUAUCUUUGCUCAGUAUAAUUUGCGACUGAAACAAAUGUAAGUUUUCUGAUGGGAUUGAAUAUGCUUAUAGAUAGUAUUUGAGAAUUAGAUAAAACAACAUAUCAUAUUUUUGCAGGGUUGGUAAGAAUGAAGAACAGGACACCAUUGAUCCCAUAUCAUUUGAUAGCGUUAGUGCUUUGGAGGACUGGGUCAGGGAAAAAGACAUGAGCUCAGAAGACUAUGAAAACACAGAUUGGAUGGCACUUGAUCCACCUGCUGCUAACACAAGGUUCCUAGGACAUUCAUAUGAUGAAGUUGAAGAGUUGAGUGUAGGGUUUGAAGAUCAUGAUAUUUUCAAUAGAAUGAAAGACUCUGAGGAAAACAACGUGGAAGACAAUCAGUAGAACAGCUUAGAAGUACACAUUUUGUUUGGAGUAUUUACAUGGAUGACUGGUUGCUUUUGCACUAUAAUCCAUUGUAGUAGUGAUUUAUGAUUAACAUUAGAGACAAUUAUCAGAUGUAAAUGGAUUAGGAUUCCUGUAACUGUAGACAGCAUCACUAGGAAGACUAAACUAGAUUAUGGUGAACAAGAUUUGAUAAUAACAACUGUUGUUCAGCGUCCAUUGGCUGCGGUUCUUUCAAUACCUUUUUGAAGUAUUUAAGUACUAGUUAGAUAGGCCUGAUGUUUGAAAAAAUUGCACUUAGUUUAUAAAUAGAGAAAUAAGGCUGUAUAUUAUGCAUACUCCUGUACAUUUCAUCUCACAUGUAUUCAAAUAGAUUUUUGAAGUUUUUUAAGCAA